RNAcentral lists this transfer RNA (74 nucleotides) under Staphylococcus aureus. RNAcentral's name for it is "tRNA-Gly". It matches the Rfam family "tRNA". Rfam says of the family: Transfer RNA (tRNA) molecules are approximately 80 nucleotides in length. Their secondary structure includes four short double-helical elements and three loops (D, anti-codon, and T loops). Lineage: Bacteria; Bacillati; Bacillota; Bacilli; Caryophanales; Staphylococcaceae. The record is from RNAcentral.
GCAGAAGUAGUUCAGCGGUAGAAUACAACCUUGCCAAGGUUGGGGUCGCGGGUUCGAACCGCCGACCCUCUGCU